RNAcentral lists this ribosomal RNA (449 nucleotides) under uncultured bacterium. RNAcentral describes it as "partial 16S ribosomal RNA". It matches the Rfam family "Bacterial small subunit ribosomal RNA", at positions 29 to 523 of the family's 1533-position model. The record is from RNAcentral.
AACGAACGCUGGCGGCAUGCCUAACACAUGCAAGUCGAACGAGACCUUCGGGUCUAGUGGCGCACGGGUGCGUAACGCGUGGGAAUCUGCCCUUGGGUUCGGAAUAACUCGCCGAAAGGCGUGCUAAUACCGGAUGAUGUCGUAAGACCAAAGAUUUAUCGCCCAGGGAUGAGCCCGCGUAAGAUUAGGUAGUUGGUGAGGUAAAGGCUCACCAAGCCGACGAUCUUUAGCUGGUCUGAGAGGAUGAUCAGCCACACCGGGACUGAGACACGGCCCAGACUCCUACGGGAGGCAGCAGUGGGGAAUAUUGGACAAUGGGCGAAAGCCUGAUCCAGCAAUGCCGCGUGAGUGAUGAAGGCCUUAGGGUUGUAAAGCUCUUUUACCCGGGAUGAUAAUGACAGUACCGGGAGAAUAAGCUCCGGCUAACUCCGUGCCAGCAGCCGCCGUAA